UCCAGGAGCACGGAGCGAAGCUAAACAAGUCCAAAGAGCAGAGCCUGUGCUACUCAGAGACCCAGCUCACCACGGACAUCAUGCCAGACCAGAAGACCUUCGUGGACCAGAAGGCAGGCGGCAGCCGGCACCGGGCGGGCGGGAUCCUGCCCCUCGUGCCCAUCCUCCUGCUGAAGCUGAUGGUAUAGAGGGCGAGGAAGGCAGCGGGACGGGGACCCUGGCCCAGGUGUGCCCCCCUCCCCCAACACACACUGGCCCCCACCUCGGCUCCCACCAGGGACAGGAAGGACCAUCCUCCUGCCAGAGACUGAACCGCUGGAGAUGCCGAGCCCCGGGCACGCCGGGUGGCAGGAGGGACCCUCACCACGUUGGAAAACUUUGGUGGUUUUCUUCCUCUUUUCAUUUUUCCCUCUUUAUUUUUUUUAUUUUUUUUUUUUUUGGCCUGGGGGUGGGGAAGGUCUUUUUUGGUGCAGUUGGGUUUCUCUUCUAAAGCAGGAGCCCGCUGCUCGUGGUGAACCCCCCCCUGCCACAGGGAAUUCCGAGCUGCCAGAGGCACCGGGGAGGGAAAAUAAUCCUGGAGAGGAGUUUUGGCAGAGGUUUUUUUGCCGGACCCAUCAUCCUGGAGAGGCCAUGGGGAGGCCACGGGGACGGCGAGGUUUCCACAUUGAAGCAUCCUGAAGGAUGGAGGUGCCAUCAGGAGGCUCUUCUUCAUCCUCCGAGGGGACUCGUUCCAGCUCUUGAUGUUGUUAUUGGGGUUGCUUUGGGGUUGGGUUUUUUUGGUUUGUUGGUUUUUUUUUUAAUUCAUUUCCCAUGGUUGGCGAGAGUUUUCAAAGGGAAAGAGAAAAGAAGCUCCUGUUCACACGUCGUGAGGUUGUCCUGGUGUUCCCAAUCUGUCACUUGGAGGGGGGGAGAGUUUUCUUUUAUUAUUUUUUGUUUUCUUUUUAAACAUUUGUCCAGUCAAAUUUGGGUUGGGAUCUGACCCGACCUCUAUGUUUCCCUCCAUCCUCUCCAUUUCCUUUCUUUUAUAUAUACAUAUAUAGUGUAUGUAUAUAACGUUCACCUAUACCUACAUAUAUGUAUGUAUAGACAUAACCAUA
Long non-coding RNA from Calidris pugnax (ruff), 1097 nucleotides. RefSeq lists it as uncharacterized. The transcript has 2 exons. The record is from RefSeq and is a predicted model, not a curated record. Lineage: Eukaryota; Metazoa; Chordata; Aves; Charadriiformes; Scolopacidae.